RNAcentral lists this ribosomal RNA (255 nucleotides) under Escherichia coli. Its description in RNAcentral is "partial 23S ribosomal RNA". It matches the Rfam family "Bacterial large subunit ribosomal RNA", at positions 112 to 409 of the family's 2925-position model. Lineage: Bacteria; Pseudomonadati; Pseudomonadota; Gammaproteobacteria; Enterobacterales; Enterobacteriaceae. The record is from RNAcentral.
UUCCGAAUGGGGAAACCCAGUGUGAUUCGUCACACUAUCAUUAACUGAAUCCAUAGGUUAAUGAGGCGAACCGGGGGAACUGAAACAUCUAAGUACCCCGAGGAAAAGAAAUCAACCGAGAUUCCCCAAGUAGCGGCGAGCGAACGGGGAGCAGCCCAGAGCCUGAAUCAGUGUGUGUGUUAGUGGAAGCGUCUGGAAAGGCGCGCGAUACAGGGUGACAGCCCCGUACACAAAAAUGCACAUGCUGUGAGCUCG